RNAcentral lists this transfer RNA (77 nucleotides) under Hyphomicrobiaceae bacterium. RNAcentral's name for it is "tRNA-Pro". It matches the Rfam family "tRNA". From Rfam's summary of the family: Transfer RNA (tRNA) molecules are approximately 80 nucleotides in length. Their secondary structure includes four short double-helical elements and three loops (D, anti-codon, and T loops). Lineage: Bacteria; Pseudomonadati; Pseudomonadota; Alphaproteobacteria; Hyphomicrobiales; Hyphomicrobiaceae. The record is from RNAcentral.
CGGGACAUAGCUCAGCCUGGUAGAGCACCUGCUUUGGGAGCAGGGGGUCGCGAGUUCGAAUCCCGCUGUCCCGACCA